Molecule: long non-coding RNA, 354 nt
Filed under: Elaeis guineensis (African oil palm)
Lineage: Eukaryota; Viridiplantae; Streptophyta; Magnoliopsida; Arecales; Arecaceae
Description: long non-coding RNA (EGUI_LNC024700)
Source: RNAcentral
UGCGAUGUAGUAAAAAAAAAUAAUAAUAAAAUAGAAACAAUCAAAAUACGUGGAUCAGUCAAAAAAGAGCUCGCCUCUAUGAGAUAUACAAACUUCAUUAUGAGAAAAGAAAUAUUAUAAGAGAAGAUCUCACUCUCAACCCUCGUACACCCAAUUUUUCUCUCACAGAAAGUUCUCCUUCACAAAAGCUCUCUCUAUAGGAAGACUCUCCUGAACCCCUGAAGUGGCCACUAUCCAAGAGCCUCCCUUCUCCUUCUCUCACAACGUCACGCAUCUCUCUCUCUUCUUCAUAGGUUCUUCCCUGGUUCGCGCGAAGCCGUCUGUGCCCAGAAAACCGCCAGCCAAACCACCCCC